RNAcentral lists this ribosomal RNA (451 nucleotides) under uncultured bacterium. Its description in RNAcentral is "bacterial SSU rRNA". It matches the Rfam family "Bacterial small subunit ribosomal RNA", at positions 34 to 507 of the family's 1533-position model. The record is from RNAcentral.
CGCUGGCGGCGUGCUUAACACAUGCAAGUCGAGCGGUAAGGCCCGUUCGGGGUACACGAGCGGCGAACGGGUGAGUAACACGUGGGUGAUCUGCCCCGCACUCUGGGAUAAGCCUGGGAAACUGGGUCUAAUACCGGAUAUGACCACCGGUCGCAUGGUUGGUGGUGGAAAGAUUUAUCGGUGCGAGAUGGGCCCGCGGCCUAUCAGCUUGUUGGUGGGUAAUGGCCUACCAAGGCGACGAUGCGUAGCCGACCUGAGAGGGUGAUCGGCCACAUUGGAACUGAGACACGGUCCAGACUCCUACGGGAGGCAGCAGGUGGGGAAUAUUGCACAAUGGGCGAAAGCCUGAUGCAGCAACGCCGCGUGGGUGAUGAAGGUUUUCGGAUCGUAAAGCCCUGUCUUUGGGACGAUAAUGACGGUACCAAAGGAGGAAGCCACGGCUAACUACGUG